Molecule: ribosomal RNA, 253 nt
Filed under: uncultured bacterium
Lineage: Bacteria
Description: partial 16S ribosomal RNA
Rfam family: Bacterial small subunit ribosomal RNA
Source: RNAcentral
UACGAAGGGGGCUAGCGUUGUUCGGAAUUACUGGGCGUAAAGCGCACGUAGGCGGAUCGAUCAGUCAGGGGUGAAAUCCCAGAGCUCAACUCUGGAACUGCCUUUGAUACUGGCGAUCUUGAGUCCGGGAGAGGUGAGUGGAACUGCGAGUGUAGAGGUGAAAUUCGUAGAUAUUCGGAAGAACACCAGUGGCGAAGGCGGCUCACUGGACUGGUAUUGACGCUGAGGUGCGAAAGCGUGGGGAGCAAACAGG